UGGGAGGUAAAUUUCUCCUAAGGCUAAAUAACGGCGAGAGACCGAUAGCGAACAAGUACCGUGAGGGAAAGAUGAAAAGAACUUUGAAAAGAGAGUUAAACAGUACGUGAAAUUGUUGAAAGGGAAACGAUUGAAGCCAGUCGUACCUAUGGGUAAUCAGCCUUUUGGGUGUGAUUUUGUGGAGCGUGAAGAGUUAAACGCCUUCAUGCCUGCAUAUUCGUGCACUUUGGGUGUACUUGCCCGUGUGUAAGUUAACAUCAAUUUUGGUGGUCAUAAAAUGGCUGGAGGAAUGUAGCUUCGAUCUUGUAUUGAAGUGUUAUAGCCUUCGGUAGAUGUGACGAUCGGGAUUGAGGAUUGCAACGGAUACCCUUCGGGGCUACCUAUCUGAUCUCUGAUCGUUGCUCUGGUGCCGAAAGCUUGCUUACGGUUAUCAAAGUCGAUGGUCAAUAGGUUAGAAUGGGUUAAAUUCGUUAAGGAUGUUGACGUAAUGGCUUUAAACGACACGUCUUGAAACACGGACCGAGGAGUCUAACAUAUAUGCGAGUGUUAGGGUGAUUAAACCCUUACGCGUAAUGAAAGUAAUUUUGGUGGGAUCACUUUUGUGCACCAUCGACC
This 615-nucleotide ribosomal RNA is filed under the name uncultured Glomeromycotina. RNAcentral describes it as "eukaryotic LSU rRNA". It matches the Rfam family "Eukaryotic large subunit ribosomal RNA", at positions 293 to 766 of the family's 3401-position model. The record is from RNAcentral. Lineage: Eukaryota; Fungi; Glomeromycota.